Molecule: long non-coding RNA, 851 nt
Organism: Neopsephotus bourkii (Bourke's parrot)
Lineage: Eukaryota; Metazoa; Chordata; Aves; Psittaciformes; Psittacidae
Exons: 3
Source: RefSeq, a predicted model, not a curated record
UUGACAUUAUACAGAGAGUGUACUUGUCCCCAGAUCCCUUCAUGCUGGCAGGUCUGUUGGUGAUAUCCAGAAGUACUCAUCUGUACUUAAAAACCCGUCCCACCUGGGGAAGGACUGAAUAUCUCUUAGUCUUCAGUGCAUGAAUCUCUGUUGCUCUGCUGGGAGAUACCCAGCCUUUGGCAAUCCUCCCUGUUUCCACCUGUGAAAAUCCAUAGGGUUUGUACUGAUUGGACACUGUGGGGCCUUGGGGCCGGGCUGGGCUUGCCUGGACCUGAGCUGCUCCUGGCUGGCUGGGCUGUGAUAGCAACACCGUGUCUGUCACCUACCCUGGGCUAGUUCCACCUGUGGCAACAGCCCAACAAAACCCGGUUGUCCAUGGAGACAAACUGAUGACCCAGCCAGAGAGAUGCAGGAAGAACAGGCACAACAGCAGAGAUCCAAGGAAAGUUAAAUCAGUUCAUACAUCCAUUUGGAGGGUGCUCAGAAAACUACGUCAAGAACCUACACACCAGAGAAAGCCUCUUCUGCAAAGGAGAUGAGAAUGUUGUUAGAAGAUGACACUGAAGAUGGAAAGUCUCCAGAGGUUCAGAGAGAUGGCAUCAUCUUCAAAUCAAAACUCAAGACUCUUUUGUUGCAUGUUGGGAUUCUGUUGCACAGACUUUUGGAACUUCAGCCCUUUAUUUCCAAGUGAAUAACACCUCUUGAGAUGUCCAAGUGAAACUGAGUGAUUCUCAGUGCCUAACUGGCUUUAGAACAGGAAUUUUAAUUUCAGAUAAGAUAUUAAUUUCAGAAGCAUUUUAAAUGUUUGCAUUUACAGUAAUCUUCUUGAAUAAAGAAGCUACAAAACUUCA